AUCAUGGCUCAGAUUGAACGCUGGCGGCAUGCCUUACACAUGCAAGUCGAACGGCAGCACGGGUGCUUGCACCUGGUGGCGAGUGGCGAACGGGUGAGUAAUACAUCGGAACGUACCUUAUCGUGGGGGAUAACGCAGCGAAAGCUGUGCUAAUACCGCAUACGCCCUGAGGGGGAAAGCGGGGGAUCGAAAGACCUCGCGCGAUUAGAGCGGCCGAUGCCUGAUUAGCUUGUUGGUGGGGUAAAAGCCCACCAAGGCGACGAUCAGUAGCUGGUCUGAGAGGACGAUCAGCCACACUGGGACUGAGACACGGCCCAGACUCCUACGGGAGGCAGCAGUGGGGAAUUUUUGGACAAUGGGGGAAACCCUGAUCCAGCAAUGCCGCGUGAGUGAAGAAGGCCUUCGGGUUGUAAAGCUCUUUUGUCAGGGAAGAAACACCGGCUCUAACACAGUCCGGGAAUGACGGUACCUGAAGAAUAAGCACCGGCUAACUACGUG
This 498-nucleotide ribosomal RNA is filed under the name uncultured bacterium. RNAcentral's name for it is "bacterial SSU rRNA". It matches the Rfam family "Bacterial small subunit ribosomal RNA", at positions 16 to 507 of the family's 1533-position model. The record is from RNAcentral.